Molecule: unclassified non-coding RNA, 343 nt
Filed under: soil metagenome
Description: partial contains 5.8S ribosomal RNA, internal transcribed spacer 2, and large subunit ribosomal RNA
Rfam family: 5.8S ribosomal RNA (bases 1-120)
Source: RNAcentral
GAUGAAGAACGUAGCGAAAUGCGAUAAGUAAUGUGAAUUGCAGAAUUCAGUGAAUCAUCGAAUCUUUGAACGCACAUUGCGCCCGCUAGUAUUCUGGCGGGCAUGCCUGUCCGAGCGUCAUUUCAACCCUCAAGCCCCCGGGCUUGGUGUUGGGGAUCGGCGAGCCUCCGCGCCCGCCGUCCCCUAAAUCUAGUGGCGGUCUCGCUGUAGCUUCCUCUGCGUAGUAGCACACCUCGCACUGGGAAACAGCGCGGCCACGCCGUUAAACCCCCAACUUCUGAACGUUUAACCUCGGAUCAGGUAGGAAUACCCGCUGAACUUAAGCAUAUCAAUAAGCGGAGGA